RNAcentral lists this ribosomal RNA (632 nucleotides) under uncultured bacterium. RNAcentral's name for it is "bacterial SSU rRNA". It matches the Rfam family "Bacterial small subunit ribosomal RNA", at positions 9 to 656 of the family's 1533-position model. The record is from RNAcentral.
GAGUUUGAUCCUGGCUCAGAAUCAACGCUGGCGGCGUGCCUCAGACAUGCAAGUCGAACGAUUAAACUCUCCUUCGGGAAAGAUAUAAAGUGGCGCACGGGUGAGUAACACGUAGGUAAUGUACCUUUGGGUGGGGAAUAACUUAGGGAAACUUAAGCUAAUACCGCAUAAUGCGAUAACUUCUUCGGAGGAUUUUGUUAAAGAUUUAUCGCCUGAAGAGCAGCCUGCGGCAGAUUAGCUAGUUGGUAAGGUAACGGCUUACCAAGGCUACGAUCUGUAUCCGACCUGAGAGGGUGGUCGGACACACUGACACUGAAUAACGGGUCAGACUCCUACGGGAGGCAGCAGUCGGGAAUUUUGGGCAAUGGGCGAAAGCCUGACCCAGCAACGCCGCGUGAAGGAUGAAGUCUCUCGGGAUGUAAACUUCGAAAGAAUAGGAAGAAUAAAUGACGGUACUAUUUAUAAGGUCCGGCUAACUACGUGCCAGCAGCCGCGGUAAUACGUAGGGACCAAGCGUUGUUCGGAUUUACUGGGCGUAAAGGGCGCGUAGGCGGCAAUUCAAGUCAGUUGUGAAAUCUCCGAGCUUAACUCGGAACGAUCAACUGAUACUGCUUUGCUAGAGUACAGAAGGG